RNAcentral lists this ribosomal RNA (1825 nucleotides) under human gut metagenome. Its description in RNAcentral is "bacterial LSU rRNA". It matches the Rfam family "Bacterial large subunit ribosomal RNA", at positions 1100 to 2925 of the family's 2925-position model. The record is from RNAcentral.
GUUGGCUUGGAAGCAGCCAUUCAUUUAAAGAGUGCGUAACAGCUCACUAGUCGAGUGAUCCCGCAUGGAUAAUAAUCGGGCAUAAGUCCGUUGCCGAAGCCGUGGAAUGCAGCAUACAGCUGCAUUGGUAGGGGAGCAUUCCGGCAGCCGCAGAAGGUUGGGCGUGAGCCCAGCUGGAGGCACCGGAAAAGCAAAUGUAGGAAUAAGUAACGAUAAAGGGGGCGGGAAACCCCCUCGCCGUAAGACCAAGGGUUCCUGAUCAACGCUAAUCGGAUCAGGGUAAGCCGGGGCCUAAGUGGAAGCCGCAAGGCGCACACGAUGGACAAACGGUAAAGAAUCCGUUGCCCCGCAGUCCCAGUGAUGUGGAGACGGAGCAGUGACACACCCGCGUGCUGACGGAAUAGCACGUUGAACCGCGUAGGUAAACCGAGGUGAGGCAAAUCCCACCACGGUGCUGAACCGGGACAGUACGGAGCGCCCCCGGGCAAUCCGACAGUGGUGGUAACCAUACUCCCGAGAAAAUCCGCUAAACGCUAUAAAGGGCUGCGGGCCCGUACCGCAAACCGACACAGGUGGUCGGGUAGAAUAUACCAAGGCGCUCGAGAGAUUCACGGUUAAGGAACUAGGCAAAUUGACCCCGUAACUUCGGGACAAGGGGUCCCCUCCUCCGGGAGGGGCGCAGAGAAUAGGUCCAGGCAACUGUUUAACAAAAACACAGGGCUGUGCGAAGUUGAAAGAUGAAGCAUACAGCCUGACACCUGCCCGGUGCCGGAAGGUUAAGAGGAGGCGUCAUCGCAAGAGAAGCGCUGAAUUGAAGCCCCGGUAAACGGCGGCCGUAACUAUAACGGUCCUAAGGUAGCGAAAUUCCUUGUCAGGUAAGUUCUGACCCGCACGAAUGGCGUAAUGAUUUGGGCACUGUCUCGACAGCCCGCCCGGCGAAAUUGUAGUACUGGUGAAGAUGCCAGUUACCCGCAACUAGACGGAAAGACCCCAUGGAGCUUUACUGCAGUUUAAUACUGGGAAUCGGUAAUUCAUGUACAGGAUAGGUGGGAGACUGAGAAGCAUGGCCGUCAGGUCGUGUGGAGUCACCGGUGGGAUACCACUCUUGGAUUGCUGGUUUCCUAACCUGCGGCCCUGAAUCGGGUCGGGGGACACUGUUAGACGGGCAGUUUGACUGGGGCGGUCGCCUCCAAAAGAGUAACGGAGGCGCUCAAAGGUUCGUUCAGCACGGACGGAAAUCGUGCAUUGAGUGUAAACGCAUAAACGAGCCUAACUGCGAGACCGACGGGUCGAGCAGUAACGAAAGUUGGAGUUAGUGAUCCGGUGGUAUGUGAGUGGAAAUGCCAUCGCUCAACGGAUAAAAGUUACCCUGGGGAUAACAGGCUGAUCUCCCCCAAGAGUCCACAUCGACGGGGAGGUUUGGCACCUCGAUGUCGGCUCAUCGCAUCCUGGGGCUGUAUUCGGUCCCAAGGGUUUGGCUGUUCGCCAAUUAAAGCGGUACGCGAGCUGGGUUCAGAACGUCGUGAGACAGUUCGGUCCCUAUCUGUUGCGGGCGUAAGAGAUUUGAAGGGAGCUGUCCUUAGUACGAGAGGACCGGGAUGGACGUACCUCUGGUGCACCAGUUGUCCUGCCAAGGGCAUAGCUGGGUAGCUAUGUACGGACGAGAUAAACGCUGAAAGCAUCUAAGCGUGAAACUCUCCCUAAGAUGAGAUCUCUCAUCCAUUAUGGAGUAAGGGCCCAGAAAGACGAUCUGGUUGAUAGGCCGGAGGUGGAAGCACGGUAACGUGUGCAGCUGACCGGUACUAAUAGCCCGAGGGCUUGACCU